Long non-coding RNA from Gastrolobium bilobum, 355 nucleotides. RefSeq lists it as uncharacterized. Lineage: Eukaryota; Viridiplantae; Streptophyta; Magnoliopsida; Fabales; Fabaceae. The transcript is spliced from 4 exons. The record is from RefSeq and is a predicted model, not a curated record.
GGACAUUAUGAGAGUGAGAUUAUAUCCCCGUUUAUCCGAUAAGAAAAACAGAACUCGGUCCGAUUUGAGACUCCAUCUAGAAUGACACUUGAGGUCAUAUCCUGAUGGAUUGAGACAUUUGGACCAACCGUGAGUGAUCAACCAUUGGAGCAAACUAUGGAGCUUGACUAGCUCCUUGGAAUUGGUGUUGGUUUUGGAGUAAAGUAUUGUUGACAUUGGUGGUGAACUAAGGUUGCUGAAGCUUUGAGGUAAGGAUGCGGCAGGAGCCACCAGUGGCAAGUGACCAUAUUUGGAUUAGCAUAUGCAUGAGGAUCCUAUAUUUUGAUAUUAUACAUGUUGUUUUGUAGCUCACAUG